This is a long non-coding RNA of Piliocolobus tephrosceles (Ugandan red Colobus), 1412 nucleotides long. NCBI's taxonomy places the organism in Eukaryota, Metazoa, Chordata, Mammalia, Primates, Cercopithecidae. The record is from Ensembl.
GAUUAUUUUAAGCGCAACUAAAGGGACUAAAAGUUUCGAUCGACAGUUUAUAACAACAUGACCAUAAGUGUAGAUAAAUCAAAUAAUGAUAACGAUGAUCAAAAAGAAAUAUCAAAAAAGAGGCCAAAUACAAGUCGAGACACACCUGCAAAGAUUGCCAAAACAGAUCAAAAUUCAUCUGAUGACAAUGAUAUUAACAUAAUAGAUAAAGGUGAAAAUAAUUCACAUGAAGGUGACUCCAACAUAUGUAAUAACUAUAAUGACGAUAACUGUGACAAUGAUAACAAUAUAAAUAAUUUAGAAGAGACAAAAGAUAAUGAUCUUAUAAGUACAUGUAAUGAUAAAAAUAAACAUAAAGAUAAAUUACAUGAAGAAGAAACGUGUGGAGGGGAAAAGGAUGUAUCUGAUAAUGUAAAGGAUAUAGGUACAACUAGCCAUAAACAAUCAGAACAUAACAAUUAUGAUGAAGGCACAAAAACUACAAUUACUAUAAGAAAUGUAGAAGUUGACCAAAAAAAAAAAAAAGAGAAAAAAAUAGAAAAUAAAAUUAUUGGAAAAAAAAAGAAAUCAAAAAAUAUUGAAAAAAUUAUUAACAAGAAAAUAAAAAACAAAACUAAAAAUGUUAUAAUAAAGGAUGUAUGUAGUGAUGAAAAUGCGCCUUUAGAAUGUGACAAAAAUGAGGAAGGGGAAGAAGAAGAGGAGGAGGAAGAAGAAGAGGAAGAGGAAGAGGAAGAGGAAGAGGAGGAGAAAGAGGGAGGAGAGGAAGAGAAAAAGGAAGAGGAAAAGGAAAAGGAAGAGGAAAAGGAAAAGGAAGAGGAAAAGGAAAAGGAAGAGGAAAAGGAAGAGGAAAAGGAAAAGGAAGAGGAAAAGGAAGAGGAAGAGGAAAAGGAAGAGGAAGAGGAAAAGGAACAGGAAGAAGACAAAGAAAAGGUAGAGAAAAAGAAAAAGGAAAAGGAAGAAGAAAAGGAAAAAGAAGAAAAAGAAGAAGUAACAGCUAACGUUGAAGUAGUAAAGGGGGAAGAAGUAAAGGAAGAGGAUGAAAAAGAAGAGGAUGAAGAAGAAGAGGAUGAUGAAGAAAUAACUUCCGAUUUAGAUAAGACAAAUACAAGCGCAGAAAAGACGCCUAGUGAAGAAAUGACAAUUGAUGAAGAAGAUAGUGUAGGGAAAGGGACUGAUGAUAAAAGCAGUAUAAAUAAAAGUCUAAAUAGGUUAAUUUUUUUUUUUUUUUUUUUUUUUUUAAAUAAAAAAAUUUUACAUAUUAAAAUAUGUACAUAUUGGGGUUUGUAUAACAUUUAUCAUAUGUUUUUAGUUCUAGUUGCUGAUUAAGUUAUAGCUCUAAAUAUAGGUUGAUUAUAACAUCAAUUAUAACAUUAAUUUUAUUUUAUUUUUUUUUUCUUGUAGUGAUACUGAUA